This is a long non-coding RNA of Mesocricetus auratus (golden hamster), 3995 nucleotides long. RefSeq lists it as uncharacterized. NCBI's taxonomy places the organism in Eukaryota, Metazoa, Chordata, Mammalia, Rodentia, Cricetidae. The transcript is spliced from 3 exons. The record is from RefSeq and is a predicted model, not a curated record.
GGCACUGGGACUACCACAAACCGCAUGCUCAGAGAAGCCAGUGAUCACUGCUCUCUGCAGCGCUGUAUAAACCAAACACACAGUCUGAAAACAGUAGGCGCAUGACUAAAGCCUUGUUCAUUUCAAUCCACUGGCUGAUUGACACAUUCAGUAACAAUAUUAAGAGACUCCUGUUCCCAGUGGUUUAGUUCUUCCGUUCAUUUCACACUGCCUGGUAGUCUCUGGGAAGAUGCCUCGCUGGAGAAAAAUAGUCAUGUCAUGAAAACAACUGGAUUUCUGGAAUUAGCUUGGGAUCUCUGUAGAGGAAAGUCUCAGAGCCAAAAGAGAGUGUUCACAUCUUAUACUGAUCCUCACGGAAUAUCUGAACAGAUUUGUUACCGAGAAAAAGAUCCUGGGGCCCUUGAGAUUUUUGAAUCCAGUGGAGGAAGCACCGUGAGUCACUGUGGAAAGAGUUACCUCAUCUGCUGGGCUUCUACUUGUGAUGCUGUGAAAGAAGAUGGAGAUAGCAGCACAGACUUCACAGGGUUGUUAGGAUGAAAUAAACAAGCACAUGGGAUGUUCAGAAGAAUGUUCGACUUACGAUAACUGCUCAGUGACUGUUAGCCUUAUCCCAGAAAAUGCUGAGACAGACCAGGAGGACCAGUGAAGCACUGUUAAUUCCUGGAUGUCUUUAGCAAGCAAGGUUGAGAGGUAGUCAUAUCUCCACAAGAUCGGGUCUUUCAACAUUCUAUUUGGGAUGAUAAAAGGACUCUCUCAAGGACUACCACCUCCCUCAGGGACUGUUUGUCAUUAACAGUUGCUGGGGGAGGGGGACUCAUAUUCUUUAGUGGUGUAGCACUGGCAAGUUGCCCAUGCUCUGGUACAAAAUAUGCUCCUAAUGCUCACACUCACUCACACUAGGAAGGACGUUAACAGGGAAGAAGGUAGUCACCAUGAAUUAGGAGAAUGCAAGGUAAUGGGGGGUGAAUGUGAUAACAAUACAGUGUGUACAUGUAUGAAAUUGUAAAGGAAGAGCAGGAGGGGGGGGCUGUCUCCUUGUUGACAAGGGAAUGUCACACUUGGUGGCAGGAGGAAGAAACUUCUGACAGGCGAUAGACAAGUGUUUUGCAGAGCCAGCAGUGAGCAACAGUCAACACACCUGCUGUGCUAUACAUAACCCAGUUUCUUGGUCUGCUCUACUCUAAGCUCUUCCAUCUGGCCAAACACUUCAGUCAGAGUCAGGUGCCUCCUAUAAGCAGGUCCAGGGUGGGCUGGUUCCACAUGGAAUGAGCUAGACUGGAUAUCAAGAUGGGCAAGCCCUCCAAUUCAGCCAUACAUGACUUGGGCAGAGAAGGAUUCAAUCUGAGGCCCAGACCAUCACGCACCUGUAAGUUUCGGUCCCCUCAGGCAUCACAUCUUCCCUGAUCCCCCCUCAAUGGUAUGAUCAUGCCCUUAGGGAUGGCUGGGUUGCUCUCACUGCAGCCUGUGUGUGGCCCUGGGAGCCCACAAGUGGAGAGCUUGGAAUCCUCAUUCUAGUAGGAGAAGCAAGCUUGCAAACUGUGACUUGAGGGUCUUAACUCUAUUCAUCCAAGUCAAGAAAAGCAGGAUGCUGGCUGGCCCAGCUUUCAAGGCUCACCCCUUUCAAGACUCUCAGCAUGGAGUUGGCCUGACUUAAGCUGUGCAGCUGGCUUGUGACUUGUUCUUAGCUGUGUCUGUCCAGGUAAAGGGCACUUUCUGCUAGCCAGUCCUGGAGUUAUAGCCUGAGAAAUCACACUGUAGAUCCUAGGGGACCUGGGACUCAAGAAGAAGAAGAAGGAUCAUGAGCAUGGCAAAAACAGACAAACAAACAACAAAACCCCACAUAAACUUUAGUUGAGUCCCAGCGGAAUGCCAUCUGCAGGCCGGAGUUAGUUGCCCAGUCUCCCUCCACCUUGACUUCUUAUACAUGACUUGGAGGCAACACCUACCCACUUGUGCUGACUGACUGGGGUAGGCAGCUUCACUCCAGCCCUAGCACCAGGGAAGGUGGCAAAGGCUGUGUUCUUUCUCUUUGGGCAGGCCCUUUGCUGAACCACUUGGCUUCAUGGCACUUGGGGGGCCUCUUGCUUCCUUCUUGAAUGGUGGCUUCACCUCACAGUGACAUGGACACUGACUUCUGACCUCCUUUCUUGUCUAGGACUGUGAAAGAAAAGGAACAGAAAUGUGGAACUCCAAGGAAAGGUCAUAGUUCCAGGCCACCCUGAGAAGUCCCAGCUCUGCUCUAUUGCGGUGGCCAGUUAUUCUUGUACUCUUGUCUCAGAGUCAUGGCCUGAGGAGUAGAGACCGUAGUACUCGUUUCUUCUAUAAUUAUUUGAUGUGAUUGCAUGGAUGUUAGACACAAAAGUAUUGGUCUUAAAAUAUCCAGGAAGAAAGAUGCUGAUGGGUUAGGGAGCUAUCUCAAUGGAUAGGUUGCUUACCUAGCAUGCACAAGAUAGCCAACACUGUAUAAAACCAGCUUGGCAACACACACUUGUGUAAAGGUGAAGUCAGGAGGAUCAGAGUUCAAAGCCAGCCUUAUGUACUUUGUUCCUUGUCUUUAAAAAGAAAAAGGAAAAAAGAAGAAAAAAAGAGGGAUGGUGACAGAACAUGGGCCAUUUCUCUGAACCACCAGGCCCCCAACUAUUGAAUCUGAAUCUAACCUAAAAGAUGGAUAAGAAUAAAAAAACAUAAGAGAAGAGCAGGUCCUUCUGACUGCUAGAGCUCUACUCCAUACUCAGAAAAGUCUGAGCUGGAAGCUUCAUCAUCCGCAGCUUGAAUCUAGGACCAUCUGUACAUCUACAGUGUUUGUGAGGGAGCAUCAGCUGGAGGCCCCUCUAGAGCCAGACAGUUACACUUGUGUAUUCACAGAAAGUCUCUAGUUCCCUGAGCAGUGGGAGGAGACUCUCAACUUAGCAGGGCAAACAUCUUCUGGAGAUGUUAUUUGGGGCUUGAUCUGCAGACUCUUUUGUUCCAGGAGUUAGCUUGCUGAGUAAGAACAGGCAGAGUCCUCUGUGUUCCCAGCACAUGGACUCUCACACCCAGAAUCUCUGCUCCAGUAUAUGUUCCUCGUGUUGGGAUCCUAGGGUUGGGCUGAGAUGGGUGAAACAGCAUUUUCCUUUGUGGGUUCUUUGUUGGACCAUGACAUUAAUAAUACCUAUAGUGUCUUAAAUGUGUCAGGAAUUUCUACAGCUUCUUUCCUUGCUUCUGGGUCUAACCUCCCUUGCUACAGAGCUUCUGAGAGGAUGUCAGUCUCAUUCCAACAGCUGGAGAAGCCGCCUGCCACCUAAAGCUUACUUCCUGUGAAAAUCACCCCUGCAGCCCUUGGAAUGUCAUCCUCAGGAACUUCCUUCAAAGUUGUGAAGAUGACAGUCAGCAAACCUGGGCUCUUUUCCUUCUCAGACCUUUGAUGGGGUUGAAGACUAGAUAGUCUCAGCUACCAUCCUCUCAUAUCCUAGUUGAGACAUUUUAGGGACAUGACUUAGACUCCUCAGGAAAGGACAACUGUUGGAAUAAUCUCUGUUGUUAGCCAAUUACCUAUAGCUUGGUCAUUUAGUGUGUAUUUCUUCCUUAUAGAUAUUCUUGUUGGUUGUAGUUGUAAUUUUUUGUGUUUUUUAAGCUUUUUAUCUCCUGGAAAAUACAUGAUAUUUGUUCUUAUUGUAUAUAGUUUCGUAUUAGGUUUAGAACCCUCUUAUUUAGACAAAAAGGGGAAUUGUUGCAGGAAUAUUUUCAGCCAGUAGUCUUUGAGGUACCAGCCCCUUUGCAGCAGGGCUCAGAGGCUAUGUGUGGAAUGGAAGCAAGUGCUUGCUCUCUUGGGUGGAUCAGGAAACAGCUUCUGCCCCUUAAGGUGCAGACGACCACGGAAGUGACUUUACCUUCUUUGUGUGAGUGAUUCCCUAAUAAACACCUGGCUUCUCUUUAUUCUGGGUUCUUGUGGACUACCUUGAUACAUCCUCUCUCUCUCUCUCUCUCUCUCUCUCUCUCUCCCUCCCUCCCUCCCU